CCAAUAGCGUAUAUUAAAGUUGUUGCAGUUAAAAAGCUCGUAGUUGAACUUCGGGAUCAAGGAAUCGGUCAUGCCUCGGUAUGUACUGGUUUUAUUGGUUCUCACCUUCUAAAGAACCAUAAUGUCAUUCAUUUGAUGUUAUGGGGAAUUAGGACUGUUACCUUGAAAAAAUUAGAGUGUUUAAAGCAAGCUUACGCUUGAAUACAUUAGCAUGGAAUAAUGAAAUAGGACAUCCGAUUCUAUUUUGUUGGUUUCUAGGAUCGAUGUAAUGAUUAAUAGGGAUAGUUGGGGGCAUUAGUAUUCAAUUGUCAGAGGUGAAAUUCUUGGAUUUAUUGAAGACUAACUACUGCGAAAGCAUUUGCCAAGGAUGUUUUCAUUAAUCAAGAACGAAAGUUAGGGGAUCGAAGACGAUCAGAUACCGUCGUAGUCUUAACCAUAAACUAUGCCGACUAGGGAUCGGAUGAUGUUAAUUUUAUAAUGACUCAUUCGGCACCUUACG
Molecule: ribosomal RNA, 499 nt
Filed under: uncultured Glomeromycotina
Lineage: Eukaryota; Fungi; Glomeromycota
Description: partial small subunit ribosomal RNA
Rfam family: Eukaryotic small subunit ribosomal RNA
Source: RNAcentral